CCUACGGGAGGCAGCAGUGGGGAAUAUUGGGCAAUGGGCGCAAGCCUGACCCAGCAACGCCGCGUGAAGGAAGAAGGCUUUCGGGUUGUAAACUUCUUUUCUCAGGGACGCAGAAAGUGACGGUACCUGAGGAAUAAGCCACGGCUACCUACGAGCCAGCAGCCGCGGCAAUACGUAGGUGGCAAGCGUUAUCCGGAUUUACUGGGUGUAAUGGGCGUGUAGGCGGGACUGCAAGUCAGCUGUGAAAACCACGGGCUCAACCUGUGGCCUGCAUUUGAAACUGUAGUUCUUGAGUACUGGAGAGGCAGACGGAAUUCCUGGUGUAGCGGUGAAAUGCGUAGAUAUUAGGAGGAACACCAGUGGCGAAGGCGGUCUGCUGGACAGCAACUGACGCUGAGGCGCGAAAGCGUGGGGAGCAAACAGGAUUAGAUACCCGGGUAGUC
Molecule: ribosomal RNA, 443 nt
Filed under: uncultured bacterium
Lineage: Bacteria
Description: partial 16S ribosomal RNA
Rfam family: Bacterial small subunit ribosomal RNA
Source: RNAcentral